RNAcentral lists this ribosomal RNA (254 nucleotides) under uncultured bacterium. RNAcentral describes it as "partial 16S ribosomal RNA". It matches the Rfam family "Bacterial small subunit ribosomal RNA", at positions 524 to 776 of the family's 1533-position model. The record is from RNAcentral.
UACGUAGGGUGCGAGCGUUGUCCGGAAUUCUUGGGCGUAAAGAGCUCGUAGGCGGUGUGUCACGUCGGCCGUGAAAACCUGCAGCUUAACUGUGGGCGUGCGGUCGAUACGGGCAUCACUGGAGUUCGGCAGGGGAGACUGGAAUUCCUGGUGUAGCGGUGAAAUGCGCAGAUAUCAGGAGGAACACCGGUGGCGAAGGCGGGUCUCUGGGCCGAUACUGACGCUGAGGAGCGAAAGCGUGGGGAGCGAACAGG